UCUGUCUCAAAAAAAAAAAAAUCCUAAAAUAUUGGAAUGAUACAGAGAAGAUUAACAGGGCUCUGUACAGGAUGACAUGCAAAUUUCUGAAGUGUUCCAUAUUUUA
Non-coding RNA from Otolemur garnettii (small-eared galago), 106 nucleotides. NCBI's taxonomy places the organism in Eukaryota, Metazoa, Chordata, Mammalia, Primates, Galagidae. The record is from Rfam.